AAGUGAUAUAACUCUGUUCUGUUCUGAUGACCAUAAGCCAUUUCCAUUUCUUCUUCAAAGCUAAAAGAAGUUAUAAAGAAACAUUGUGUGAUUUCUACGACACUCCUAGAUGUUGAUGGUUUUUAUCUUGCUCCAAAGCUAAGGAUGCUUGAUUAACAUAAAUCAUGGCUACCUUACAAGACAAUAUAAACUCUGAAAAGGGGCCUUUCUUUGGAAACUGGCCAGGGUUAAUUGUAGUCAUUCAGCCUACAUAGGAAUGUAAUGCAAGAAUUCCUUCAUUUCUCUAUCAAGGAAGGAGCCAUAAUGUUAGAACACAUACAUGAAGAAUACCCCAGGUUCAUUCUCUGUCAUUGUCAGUGAAAAGAAAACUAUUAAGCUGUUAAGAUUCAGCAAUCCUGGAGACCAGCACAAGCAAGGUUCUCCACAUCUUGUUGAGCUUCUACUUCCUUUAGUCUCUGGAGCCACAUUUGGCCCUUUCUUCUGAAUAUUUAUUGAAAUCAAAUAGUUUCAUGCUCUUGUUCAACUGUUUAUUAUUAUUUUAUUCCCUUCUUAGCCUGUUUUAAUAAACCAAGACCUAGAAAUCUUUUCAAGAAAAGCAGAAGAGAUUAGGGCUUGCUGACACUAUUUAUUGCUAUAGCAAAGAUAGAUAACUCUGUGAUUUAACAAAGAAAAAUGUUGCUUUUGUGUGAUUAGGUGACUGAAUACUUCUUGGAAGAUUAUUUGUUUAAUGCUGCAAUUUCUCAACUGAUGAGUCUCAGUAAUGCAUUGUCACAAGCGUCUCAAAGAGUUAUUCUCCAUAGUGCAGAAUAUGAGGAUGCCCUCGCAACACUCUGUGUUAUGCUUGCACCAAUGGCACCACACAUCAGUUCUGAGAUCUGGAAAGCGGAGCGGAGGCGGCAGCUGGACGAGUUCCUGGCCCAGAAAGGGAGGCCCAGGCCGGCGGGUGGCAGGUGAGGAAUAUAUUAAUAUAUAAUAUAACUAGCUGUGCCCGGCCACGCGUUGCUGUGGCUGAGUCUGGUGGUGUUGGUCAGUUUACAUUACGUUGUAUUUAUGCUGUGACCUCCACCCUUCUUUAUACUCACAUUAGUAGUAGUAUUUGAAGUCUGUUACCUUCUUCAAUUUUUGUGUUGAUUGAUAAUUGCUUGAGAUCCCUGUUGUCUUUGGUUUGUUGUUAAUCGUGAUGUCUGAUUCUGCUGAGUGCGGUUACAUCUUAUUGUGGUACAAUAGUCUUUUUUUUUGCCUGUGUAGGUGUUUAUUAUUGUUGUUGCUGUAGUGGUCAUGAAGGCUGGAUAAGUUAGAUGCUACUGUAUUCGUUUUUGGAGGCCCAGUGUAGCACUGAUUGGCUUCUCAGCCUCAGUGCCUGACUGCUUCUUGCCUGUGAUGGUGUAGAUUCUUAUUGUUGUUGUUGUCAUUGUUAUUAUUGUAAUUGUUUUUUUGGAGGCCAAGUGUGAAUGUAGUGAUUGGGGAGGUGGAUGAGUUGUGUUGUCAAAUUUUGUAUUUGUUAUAGUCACGAUGCGUUGUUGUGAGUUUUGUGGGUCCAGAUUGUGGUUUUGUGGUGUAGUUGUGUUGUUACAACCGGGAGGCAAGGCUUUUGUGUUGUGUUGUCAAGUUUUAUAUUUCUGGGGUGUUUAGUUGUGUGCCAAGUUUCGUAUUUCUGGGGUGUUUAGUUGUGUUGUUACAGUCACGAUGCGUUGUUGUGAGUUUUAUGGGUCCGGAUUGUGGUUUUGUGGUGUGGUUGUGUUGUUACAACCUGGAGGGAAGGCUUUUGUGUUGUGUUGCCAAGUUUCGUAUUUCUGGGGCGUUUAGUUGUGUUGUUAUAGUCACAAUGCGUUGUUGUGAGUUUUGUGGGUCCUGUGUGGUUUUGUGGUGUGGUUGUGUUGUUACAACUGGGAGGCAAG
Molecule: long non-coding RNA, 1898 nt
Organism: Anolis carolinensis (green anole)
Lineage: Eukaryota; Metazoa; Chordata; Lepidosauria; Squamata; Anolidae
Exons: 3
Source: RefSeq, a predicted model, not a curated record